AAUUUACCUCUGAGCGGGAAUUCGCUUGGCUUGGUGAUACUUGGUGGAGGCUCCAUCAUUUUAAUUCAGAAGUUCUGACAUGAUGCUCUGAAAUGUAGAGUGAUCCAAAUCAUUCACUUCCAUACGCACGCCACGUCGAGUUCCCCAUUAGCAUCUGCUGAAACGGCGACUCCCCCAUGACAUUCCUAAACCAGAGGUUCUCGCUGCUCACCUUUCUGACGACUGCAGUUUCCAUUAAAUCAACACAGUUCACAGUCCGUUUUUUCAGACUUCCAUCCCUCGGUCGGCUUCAGCUGGACUGACGAGGACAUCCCGUGUUGUGUCUUAUAAGUUUCCUUAUCGUGCGCGGUCCACAUCCUUUGGGUGCUAAGUUAUCUUGUAUAAUGUGAAUAUUCUCGAUAUAAUAUGUUCAAUGGGAUUGGUGGGGUAGGGAAGGAAAUGGUGGAAGCGGUGGGAUUUUUUUUUUUGCUUAUUAAAUUGAAUGUCCAUUAAGGAAUUUCAACUAAAUUAGAAACGCCACACGUGAAGCGUUUCAGGGCGGGUUUGGGUCUCUUGCUUUUUCUGCGCUGUGGUUGCUGGAGGGUUUUUAACGUACUGUAAAGCAAUCCCUGUGCGUUAUUGUUCUAUACUGUAUAUUAGAGAAUGUGUAUUGUGCUACUUUUAGUAGACUCUAAUUUAUUUAAUCUGAUUUGUCAACAAAUGUUCAUUUUUUUCUGUUUUGAAGCAUUUUUUUUUAAUACAGCAAUAAAGCACAAUGGUGACAUUUCCA
Molecule: long non-coding RNA, 769 nt
Organism: Erpetoichthys calabaricus (reedfish)
Lineage: Eukaryota; Metazoa; Chordata; Cladistia; Polypteriformes; Polypteridae
Exons: 2
Source: RefSeq, a predicted model, not a curated record